CACUCGUGGCUUGAUCUCAGGUGGUGAUAGGGAGGACAGGGAGGUGGGGGUGACUGCAUUUGGAUAGAUUUUGAAGGAGAGGGCUAGGACUUGCUGCUUAAGCAGAUGCAGGGCAGAGAGAAGGCGAGACUCCAACACAGGGUUAGAGUGCGGGGAGAAUGGGCAGCCAGUUCAACUGCUUUCAUACGAACUGGUGGACUUUAAGUUUUGUAAACAGGACAUGUGAAUACAGUCAAGGUUGAUCACAAGUGGUUAUAUUGAGAAGUUUUUAAUAUAGAGGCAUUUAGGGACAUCUGGAGUGUCCCAGGAGCUUUAUGUGUUGACCUGGCCCCUCACCAGACCAUGAAACCAUAUUCUCUGGAAGGGACUCCAGCUGAAGUAUUUUCAAAGCUCCACAGACAACUGAAACAGCAGCCAAGGUUGAGACCACAGUGCUGGGCUCCUCCUGCUGGGGCACCUCCUCCUUGUCUUCCCACCCCGACUGGCCUCUUCUUGCUCAAUUGCUGCUGUCCCCAUUUUAUAGAGGUGACUUGCCCAACAUUCCAGUAACUAGAAGUGGCUGAGUGGGAGCUUCACUAACCCCAGCAAACCAGCUGCCCACCUGCCCUCCACUAGCAGGAUGCCAUGCAGAGGGUAGUUCUUUCAAUACCAGAUCAAAACCAACAGAAGCCAAAUCCUCAGCCGUCUGUCCGAGGGAUGUCUGGUGGUGGGGCUGGAUGUACAGACAGAUGACAGAGGCGAGGAGCUGUCCCCUCUACCUAUUUUGGAAAAUGGGGGUACCUCCUGCACAGGGCAGGGGCAGUCAGGCAGCCCCCUGCUCAUCAGUG
This 827-nucleotide long non-coding RNA is filed under the name Marmota monax (woodchuck). Lineage: Eukaryota; Metazoa; Chordata; Mammalia; Rodentia; Sciuridae. The record is from RNAcentral.